UACGUAGGUGGCAAGCGUUGUCCGGAUUUAUUGGGCUUAAAGGGUGCGUAGGCGGUUUUAUAAGUCAGUGGUGAAAUCCAACAGCUUAACUGUUGAGUGGCCAUUGAUACUGUAAGACUUGAGUACAGACGAGGUAGGCGGAAUUGACGGUGUAGCGGUGAAAUGCUUAGAUAUCGGGAAGAACACCGAUAGCGAAGGCAGCUUACUAGACUGUAACUGACGCUGAGGCGCGAAAGUGUGGGGAGCAAACAGG
RNAcentral lists this ribosomal RNA (253 nucleotides) under uncultured bacterium. Its description in RNAcentral is "partial 16S ribosomal RNA". It matches the Rfam family "Bacterial small subunit ribosomal RNA", at positions 524 to 776 of the family's 1533-position model. The record is from RNAcentral.